UAUCGUGGUGGGAGACAGUGUCAGGCGGGCAGUUUGACUGGGGCGGUCGCCUCCUAAAAGGUAACGGAGGCGCUCAAAGGUUCCCUCAGAAUGGUUGGAAAUCAUUCAUAGAGUGUAAAGGUAUAAGGGAGCUUGACUGCGAGACCUACAAGUCGAGCAGGGUCGAAAGACGGACUUAGUGAUCCGGUGGUUCCGCAUGGAAGGGCCAUCGCUCAACGGAUAAAAGCU
This 228-nucleotide ribosomal RNA is filed under the name Staphylococcus epidermidis. RNAcentral describes it as "partial 23S ribosomal RNA". It matches the Rfam family "Bacterial large subunit ribosomal RNA", at positions 2237 to 2464 of the family's 2925-position model. The record is from RNAcentral. Lineage: Bacteria; Bacillati; Bacillota; Bacilli; Caryophanales; Staphylococcaceae.